This 922-nucleotide ribosomal RNA is filed under the name uncultured Bacteroidota bacterium. RNAcentral's name for it is "bacterial SSU rRNA". It matches the Rfam family "Bacterial small subunit ribosomal RNA", at positions 1 to 916 of the family's 1533-position model. Lineage: Bacteria; Pseudomonadati; Bacteroidota. The record is from RNAcentral.
GGAUCCAGACUUUGAUUCUGGCUCAGGAUGAACGCUAGCUACAGGCUUAACACAUGCAAGUCGAGGGGCAGCGGGAUUGAAGCUUGCUUCAAUUGCCGGCGACCGGCGCACGGGUGAGUAACGCGUAUCCAACCUUCCGUACACUCAGGGAUAGCCUUUCGAAAGAAAGAUUAAUACCUGAUAGUAUCUUAAGCACACAUGUAAUUAAGAUUAAAGAUUUAUCGGUGUACGAUGGGGAUGCGUUCCAUUAGGUAGUAGGCGGGGUAACGGCCCACCUAGCCAACGAUGGAUAGGGGUUCUGAGAGGAAGGUCCCCCACAUUGGAACUGAGACACGGUCCAAACUCCUACGGGAGGCAGCAGUGAGGAAUAUUGGUCAAUGGACGAGAGUCUGAACCAGCCAAGUAGCGUGAAGGAUGAAGGUCCUACGGAUUGUAAACUUCUUUUAUAAGGGAAUAAACCCUCCCACGUGUGGGAGCUUGUAUGUACCUUAUGAAUAAGCAUCGGCUAACUCCGUGCCAGCAGCCGCGGUAAUACGGAGGAUGCGAGCGUUAUCCGGAUUUAUUGGGUUUAAAGGGAGCGCAGACGGGUCGUUAAGUCAGCUGUGAAAGUUUGGGGCUCAACCUUAAAAUUGCAGUUGAUACUGGCGUCCUUGAGUGCGGUUGAGGUGUGCGGAAUUCGUGGUGUAGCGGUGAAAUGCUUAGAUAUCACGAAGAACUCCGAUUGCGGAGGCAGCACACUAAUCCGUAACUGACGUUCAUGCUCGAAAGUGUGGGUAUCAAACAGGAUUAGAUACCCUGGUAGUCCACACGGUAAACGAUGGAUACUCGCUGUUGGCGAUAUACUGUCAGCGGCUUAGCGAAAGCGUUAAGUAUCCCACCUGGGGAGUACGCCGGCAACGGUGCAACUCAAAGGAAUUGACGG